AACGCAACUUGCGCCCUCUGGUAUUCCGGAGGGCAUGCCUGUUUGAGUGUCAUGUAGACUCAUCUAAUCAGAUUUUUCUGAUCAAGAUGGAUUUGGAGGUUUUUGCCUUUGUCGGCUCCUCUUAAAAGCAUUGUGCAGACGUGAUAAGUUUCGUCGUACGCGCAUUCGCCUUUACAGGCACUACUUGUACUCUGACCUCAAAUCAGGUAGGGCUACCCGCUGAACUUAA
Molecule: unclassified non-coding RNA, 229 nt
Filed under: uncultured fungus
Lineage: Eukaryota; Fungi
Description: partial contains 5.8S ribosomal RNA, internal transcribed spacer 2, and large subunit ribosomal RNA
Rfam family: 5.8S ribosomal RNA (bases 1-52)
Source: RNAcentral